UACGUAGGGUGCAAGCGUUGUCCGGAAUUAUUGGGCGUAAAGAGCUCGUAGGCGGUUUGUCGCGUCUGCUGUGAAAACUCGGGGCUUAACCCCGGGCCUGCAGUGGGUACGGGCAGACUAGAGUGCGGUAGGGGAGACUGGAAUUCCUGGUGUAGCGGUGAAAUGCGCAGAUAUCAGGAGGAACACCAGUGGCGAAGGCGACUUCCUGGCCUGUUCUUGACGCUGAGGCGCGAAAGCUAGGGUAGCAAACGGG
This 253-nucleotide ribosomal RNA is filed under the name uncultured bacterium. RNAcentral's name for it is "partial 16S ribosomal RNA". It matches the Rfam family "Bacterial small subunit ribosomal RNA", at positions 524 to 776 of the family's 1533-position model. The record is from RNAcentral.